This 301-nucleotide ribosomal RNA is filed under the name uncultured bacterium. Its description in RNAcentral is "partial 16S ribosomal RNA". It matches the Rfam family "Bacterial small subunit ribosomal RNA", at positions 509 to 807 of the family's 1533-position model. The record is from RNAcentral.
CAGCAGCCGCGGGAAUACGUAGGGUGCAAGCGUUAAUUGGAAUUACUGGGCGUAAAGCGUGCGCAGGCGGUUAUAUAAGACAGAUGUGAAAUCCCCGGGCUCAACCUGGGAACUGCAUUUGUGACUGUAUAGCUAGAGUACGGCAGAGGGCGAUGGAAUUCCGCGUGUAGCAGUGAAAUGCGUAGAUAUGCGGAGGAACACCGAUGGCGAAGGCAAUCCCCUGGGCCUGUACUGACGCUCAUGCACGAAAGCGUGGGGAGCAAACAGGAUUAGAUACCCCUGUAGUCCCUGUCUCUUAUAC